AGAACUUGAAACCGUGUGCUUACAAGUAGUCAGAGCCCGUUAAUGGGUGAUGGCGUGCCUUUUGUAGAAUGAACCGGCGAGUUACGAUCUGAUGCAAGGUUAAGCAGCAAAUGUGGAGCCGCAGCGAAAGCGAGUCUGAAUAGGGCGUUGAGUAUUUGGUCGUAGACCCGAAACCAGGUGAUCUACCCUUGGUCAGGUUGAAGUUCAGGUAACACUGAAUGGAGGACCGAACCGACUUACGUUGAAAAGUGAGCGGAUGAACUGAGGGUAGCGGAGAAAUUCCAAUCGAACUUGGAGAUAGCUGGUUCUCUCCGAAAUAGCUUUAGGGCUAGCCUCAAGUGAUGAUUAUUGGAGGUAGAGCACUGUUUGGACGAGGGGCCCCUCUCGGGUUACCGAAUUCAGACAAACUCCGAAUGCCAAUUAAUUUAACUUGGGAGUCAGAACAUGGGUGAUAAGGUCCGUGUUCGAAAGGGAAACAGCCCAGACCACCAGCUAAGGUCCCAAAAUAUAUGUUAAGUGGAAAAGGAUGUGGCGUUGCCCAGACAACUAGGAUGUUGGCUUAGAAGCAGCCAUCAUUUAAAGAGUGCGUAAUAGCUCACUAGUCGAGUGACACUGCGCCGAAAAUGUACCGGGGCUAAACAUAUUACCGAAGCUGUGGAUUGUCCUUUGGACAAUGGUAGGAGAGCGUUCUAAGGGCGUCGAAGCAUGAUCGCAAGGACAUGUGGAGCGCUUAGAAGUGAGAAUGCCGGUGUGAGUAGCGAAAGACGGGUGAGAAUCCCGUCCACCGAUUGACUAAGGUUUCCAGAGGAAGGCUCGUCCGCUCUGGGUUAGUCGGGUCCUAAGCUGAGGCCGACAGGCGUAGGCGAUGGAUAACAGGUUGAUAUUCCUGUACCACCUAGUAUCGUUUUAAUCGAUGGGGGGACGCAGUAGGAUAGGCGAAGCGUGCUGUUGGAGUGCACGUCCAAGCAGUAAGGCUGAGUGUUAGGCAAAUCCGGCACUCAUAAGGCUGAGCUGUGAUGGGGAGAGGAAAUUGUUUCCUCGAGUCGUUGAUUUCACACUGCCGAGAAAAGCCUCUAGAUAGAUAACAGGUGCCCGUACCGCAAACCGACACAGGUAGUCAAGAUGAGAAUUCUAAGGUGAGCGAGCGAACUCUCGUUAAGGAACUCGGCAAAAUGACCCCGUAACUUCGGGAGAAGGGGUGCUCUUUAGGGUUCACGCCCAGAAGAGCCGCAGUGAAUAGGCCCAAGCGACUGUUUAUCAAAAACACAGGUCUCUGCUAAACCGUAAGGUGAUGUAUAGGGGCUGACGCCUGCCCGGUGCUGGAAGGUUAAGAGGAGUGGUUAGCUUCUGCGAAGCUACGAAUCGAAGCCCCAGUAAACGGCGGCCGUAACUAUAACGGUCCUAAGGUAGCGAAAUUCCUUGUCGGGUAAGUUCCGACCCGCACGAAAGGCGUAACGAUUUGGGCACUGUCUCAACGAGAGACUCGGUGAAAUCAUAGUACCUGUGAAGAUGCAGGUUACCCGCGACAGGACGGAAAGACCCCGUGGAGCUUUACUGUAGCCUGAUAUUGAAAUUCGGCACAGCUUGUACAGGAUAGGUAGGAGCCUUUGAAACGUGAGCGCUAGCUUACGUGGAGGCGUUGGUGGGAUACUACCCUAGCUGUGUUGGCUUUCUAACCCGCACCACUUAUCGUGGUGGGAGACAGUGUCAGGCGGGCAGUUUGACUGGGGCGGUCGCCUCCUAAAAGGUAACGGAGGCGCUCAAAGGUUCCCUCAGAAUGGUUGGAAAUCAUUCAUAGAGUGUAAAGGCAUAAGGG
This 1816-nucleotide ribosomal RNA is filed under the name Staphylococcus epidermidis. Its description in RNAcentral is "partial 23S ribosomal RNA". It matches the Rfam family "Bacterial large subunit ribosomal RNA", at positions 545 to 2365 of the family's 2925-position model. Lineage: Bacteria; Bacillati; Bacillota; Bacilli; Caryophanales; Staphylococcaceae. The record is from RNAcentral.